Molecule: ribosomal RNA, 483 nt
Filed under: uncultured bacterium
Lineage: Bacteria
Description: partial 16S ribosomal RNA
Rfam family: Bacterial small subunit ribosomal RNA
Source: RNAcentral
GACGAACGCUGGCGGCGUGCUUAACACAUGCAAGUCGAACGCUGAAGCUCAGCUUUUGUUGGGUGGAUGAGUGGCGAACGGGUGAGUAACACGUGAGUAACCUGCCCCCUUCUUUGGGAUAACGCCCGGAAACGGGUGCUAAUACUGGAUAUUCACUGGUCUUCGCAUGGGGGUUGGUGGAAAGGGUUUUUCUGGUGGGGGAUGGGCUCGCGGCCUAUCAGCUUGUUGGUGGGGUGAUGGCCUACCAAGGCUUUGACGGGUAGCCGGCCUGAGAGGGUGACCGGUCACAUUGGGACGGAGAUACGGCCCAGACUCCUACGGGAGGCAGCAGUGGGGAAUAUGGCAGAAUGGGCGCAAGCCUGAUGCAGCGACGCCGCGUGAGGGAUGGAGGCCGUCGGGUUGUGAACCUCUUUCGCUCAUGGUCAAGCCGCAACAAUGGUUGUGGUGAGGGUAGUGGGUAAAGAAGCGCCGGCUAACUACGUG